UAUGUGAUCGUCUCUCGCAUAUCAAUAAGCGGAGGAAAAGAAACUAACAAGGAUUCCCCUAGUAACGGCGAGUGAAGCGGGAAGAGCUCAAAUUUGAAAUCUUAAAGGGUUUCCCUUUACGAAUUGUAGUUUAAAGAAGUGUUUUCUGUUGAGGUUUUGGUAAAAGUUCUUUGGAAUAGGACAUCAUAGAGGGUGAGAAUCCCGUAUUUGACCUUUACUUUCAACUUUGUGAUACACUUUCAAAGAGUCGGAUUGUUUGGGAAUGCAGUCCAAAAUGGGUGGUAAAUUUCAUCUAAAGCUAAAUAUUGGCGAGAGACCGAUAGCGAACAAGUACCGUGAGGGAAAGAUGAAAAGAACUUUGAAAAGAGAGUUAAACAGUACGUGAAAUUGUCAAAAGGGAAGCGUUUGACACCAGUGUUGUUUUUCUGAAAAUCAAUUAAAGAACUGUUUAUGCUAAGUUGUUUAGACUUUAUCAGCUAUCUGUUUAGUUUUGAGCUUUUCUUUAAUGCACUUUUCAGUUAACAAGUCAACAUCAAUUUCUUUUGCUGUAAAAAAGCUUGAGGAAGGUGGCUUGAGAUUCGUCUUAAGUGUUUAUAGCCUCUUGCCUAUGCAGUCGGAGAGAUUGAGGUCUGCAGCGUAGAUCCUUCGGGGCUAAAUGCAUUUGUGCUAAGUUAUAGCAUUUUAUAGACAACUUGUUGACUAUGAUUUGUCUUGUAGCUUACUCGCUUAUGUUAUUUUACCUACGCUUAGGAUGUUGAAGUCAUCGUAUCGCGC
Molecule: ribosomal RNA, 774 nt
Filed under: uncultured Neocallimastigales
Lineage: Eukaryota; Fungi; Neocallimastigomycota; Neocallimastigomycetes; Neocallimastigales
Description: partial large subunit ribosomal RNA
Rfam family: Eukaryotic large subunit ribosomal RNA
Source: RNAcentral